UGUCUUUUAUCCUUAUACUAUACUGCUCUAAGAGUUAUACGUUAUAAUUUCAAUUUUCCAUAUGAUGAAAAUACAGACGCAUAGAAGUUUAGUGAUUUGCCCAGAUUUGCAUAUCUGAUUGGCAGCACAGGUCAGACUCAAAUAUGUGCCAUGACCCUGAAUCUCAUGAAUGAAACCAAACUGAGACCCUCCUCGUGGUCAAAAGUCAGAAGCCUGUAAAGGAGGGAGAUGGACUCUUCCAGAAGGUUUGUAAGACUCUUCUGAAGAUGACAUAAUAACUGCUGACAUGGACCAUGAAGCUGAGGGUGACACCCUGAGCUGCUUUCUUUUGGGUAUCCGAGAAAGCCUUCAUGGAGUGGAGCCACCACACUAGCCCAAGACAGCUACAGCUGUUCUUCUACAUGAGCAGAAAGAAAAACUUUUAUCGGGUUUAAGUCACUGUUAUUUUGGGUUUAUGUUAUUCACAGUUGAAUCUAAUCCUAACUGAUACAACCACUAUCCUGCAAAAACGGUGGCAAAAAAAUAUAUAUCACAUAUCCAUCACAUAAAUCCACUUUUAUAAGGAAAUGAAGUCAAAUUAUUACCCCCAAUAAAAAGGUGUUUCGCAACAUGACCCAGGAAUUUAGAAGGACCAUUUGUUCACUAUUUCUCCCUGUCUCACAGCUCUCGUGGCCUCAGCGGAUAAGUAUAUGAGAGCACAGUUUUCCUGGUGUCAGAAUAUGAAGAUCCAGGGAACAAAGAACCUCAAAGAACACCUGGAUUGUCAAGGUUUGGCCGGCAGUGCACUUUCUCCAACCUUACAGUCACACGCAAGACAUUCCUUCUCCCUUUGAAGAAAUCCACAAAAGAAAAAGCAAAAUACUGACAAGUUUUCAAAGCCAUGAUUUACAGGAAUGAAUUCUGAAAAGCAAGUGGCUAACAUCCGAGUUCAUCAUCAAAUAAUAUUUCUAAAGCACCCUCUAGUGUCUGGCCCCAAGCCAGAUGAUUCAACGCCUGGAGAAGCUACAGACUUUUUCAAAGUAAAAUAGACUCACGUCUGCUCUUGAGAAGCAAGUCGGCAUCAUUUAGGAUGCCUUAGGAAUGUCUCUCUAAAUAAGGAUUAAAAAUGGAUUGCUGUAGAAAAAUUAAUACAGGUACAAACACUAAUAAUAUUGAGUGCAAUUUAAAUUCCAUUUUAAAAUAGAUAAUAGGGUUUAAAAUAACAUGUCGAAAAUUGUACUGGAAUUAGCAAAAUUUAAAAUCUUAGGAAGAAGAAUCCUGAUUUGUGUGUGAAAAGGUUUUGAACUGAGGAAAAUUAAGACUAGCAAGAGUAGAUAGGGGUUGUCUAGUAGGAAUCAUAGACCCAUCAGCCAUCUGAUUAUGCUGUGACUGAUACUAGCCUGUAGUUUUCACCCAGUAAAUUAUCAAGUGGUACAGUAGAAAGAGCAUGGUAUGUAGAAUCAUAAGACUCAUAGUUUGGGGUCAACUCUACUAGUCACUUGGCCAUGUGGUUUGGAACACAUCACAAAAGAUUUAUGAGCCUUUGCUUCUUCACAUGUAAAAUUGUGAUGAUUUUGCCAACUUCAUAGAAUUGUUUAGACUUUAGAGUAUUACAUAGGAUACAACGGACUAGUUCCUUGAACAAAGUACUUGUCCCCAAAAUGUUACUAUUUUUUCUAGUUGUGUGAUUGAUUUUGCAAUCAGCAAUUUAAUAUUAUUCAUUCAAUACGUUUAUAAUAUGCAUUCAAUGUGACUCGCAUAUAUUUCAUAAAAACAAAUUUGAAUAUUUUUCUCAUUUUGUCAUUCACAUAUCUUUGAGAAUGGCAUCAUAGUUUUAUUUUGAUAAUGAAGUAAUACAGUCAAUUCCUGAAUAGGCUAGUUGACUUUAAUGAGAAAUACCCAUUUAUUCAUUCAUUCAUUCAUUUCAUUUUCAACUUUUAAAUUAAAUCCAUAAUGGCCCCUUCACUAUGGGGUUCUUAUAUUAAUAAGAUGGACCAGAUACUUUUAUCACCUACAAAAAAAAUCUUUGUAGGCGGAGCAAUAAAGAGUACUGAAUCAUUUUAAGAAGUCAC
This is a long non-coding RNA of Macaca fascicularis (crab-eating macaque), 2051 nucleotides long. Lineage: Eukaryota; Metazoa; Chordata; Mammalia; Primates; Cercopithecidae. The record is from Ensembl.